This 443-nucleotide ribosomal RNA is filed under the name uncultured bacterium. RNAcentral's name for it is "partial 16S ribosomal RNA". It matches the Rfam family "Bacterial small subunit ribosomal RNA", at positions 338 to 795 of the family's 1533-position model. The record is from RNAcentral.
CCUACGGGCGGCAGCAGUGGGGAAUAUUGGGCAAUGGAGGCAACUCUGACCCAGCAACGCAGCGUGAAUGAUGAAGGUCUUAGGAUUGUAAAGUUCUUUUCUAAGGGAAGAAGAAUGUGACGGUACCUUAGGAAUAAGCCUCGGCUAACUACGUGCCAGCAGCCGCGGUAAUACGUAGGAGGCACGCGUUAUCCGGAUUGACUGGGCGUAAGGGGUGCGUAGGUGGUUUGACAAGUUAGUAGCGCAACUUCGGGGCUCAACUUCGGAACUACUACUAAAACUGGUGGACUUGAGUGCAGGGGAGGUAAUCGGAAUUCGUGGUGUAGCGGUGGAAUGCGUAGAUAUUAGGAGGAACACCAGUGGCGAAGGCAGAUUGCUAGACUGUAACUGACACUGAGGCACGAAAGCGUGGGGAGCAAACAGGAUUAGAUACCCCAGUAGUC